UUAAGAUCCCAUAAGAUGCACAGUGGAACCAAAAACAAAAAAUAUAUAUCCUUUAUCACUGAGGGAAAAAAAAAAACGUUUGUAAUAAAGAAAUUUUUUAACAAUUUUUGAUUAAUGAAAUAUAGCAUUCAAGACAAAUCUAUACAAGGUGUGUAGCUGAAAAUAUCUUUCAAUGAGGCCAAAGGUUUGAAGCUGUCAAAUGACUUAUUAACUUUUCGCAGUCAUGCAGCACAUGGGAAGGGCAUAAAGUUAAUGUUUGUUUUAGGGGAUUAUAGCAGGGAGGAAUAGAAGGGUUACGUUGCCAGAAAAACAAACUAAAUUUUUUCGCAGAUAAAAAUACUGUGGUUGAAAACAGGAGCCAAGGAACAUGCUAAUUAGAAACACUUGAUAAAAACUAAAUUAUUAAACAAGCUAGAAGAGAAGACUAAGAUAAAAGUAACUAAGUGGGAGAAUGGUUAUUUCCUUCCAUUAGAGUUUUGUAAGAAUGAGCUCCAAUUUUAUAUAAGAUACAAUUAGAUUCAGUGAUUACUCACAUUAGUACAAUAAGAAAUUUGACUCAGUAGUGCAAGUAAGCCAUACAGUUAAUUAUUCAUUUUAUGUUUUUAUUUGGCUUUGGAAUGUGUUUUUUGUACUUAUCUCUCUAGGGCUUUAUUUGAUAGUCUGGGAACUUAUUUCAAACACUGAGAAGAUCUGACUCAGGAAAUGCUGGGACGCAGUCCAGUGUGUUUAUCCUGACCCCUGUUCAACUUUUUCCUGCAGUCCACUCCAUGCUGGGACUAGACAACUCUCCUCUGAGGCUGAGGCUAACCAGACUAUGCAGCACCCUCUUCUCUCCACAAUUCUCUGGAACUGGGGUAGUUGUUAAGUGCUUGGAUUUCCAAAGGAUCCUUGAAAAGCUACUUUAAAAAAGAAUAAAUAGAUGGCCUAUUAGUCAAGCAAAUAAUUGG
Molecule: long non-coding RNA, 947 nt
Filed under: Bos taurus (domestic cattle)
Lineage: Eukaryota; Metazoa; Chordata; Mammalia; Artiodactyla; Bovidae
Description: long non-coding RNA NONBTAT015861
Source: RNAcentral